AAAACUCCUCACUUUAAUUUUCAUUUUAGCGCCACCAACCGUAUCUUCCAAUGAUCCAUCAUAUUUUGGACUUCACAAAGCCGUUUUUAUCGUCGUGGUGUGUUUGGUGUCGCUCGUAGCGCUCAUGUCUAUGGUCGUGUGUGGAAUUUGCAUCAGAAAGAAACACGUCAGUAUCAUCAUGUUAACAACGCACCACGAUGAUCGCCACGAAUUUUGUCCGAAUAACGGAGGCCAAGAUUCCCACUUUGAAAUGAAAAAACAACCCGCACAUAACCAAGUGGUGGAUAUCUGCAGUGUGGGAAGAAAAAGCCCUUGACGAAUUCGUCGUCGUUGAUAUUUGGCUGUAAGGCUCUCUCGUCGACAGAGCAUCCUUUUAGGCCGUAGGAUGAGCAUCCAAAAGAUGCAAUUCCGUUGCACCCCUCGUGGAACUACGUAAUUUUCGCAUGAAUCAAUAGAUAAAAACUUACUUUAUCAGAAUCCGUUGCUCCCCAAGCGAAACAGGUGCACAAUUGGGAAAAAUAUUCCUCCAAAGUUUGAUAUUUUCCCGCUACGAAAUAUUCGAACCGCCAUUGUUUUGGUAGCAAAUACGCAUGCGUGUUUCAG
Molecule: non-coding RNA, 603 nt
Organism: Paramuricea clavata
Lineage: Eukaryota; Metazoa; Cnidaria; Anthozoa; Malacalcyonacea; Plexauridae
Source: the annotation of a GenBank genome assembly